GUUCUGGUAGCCUAAUUUAAGGCAUUGGUCUUGUAAACCAAAGACUGGAGGUGAAACUCCCCCCCAAAACAA
This 72-nucleotide transfer RNA is filed under the name Raja undulata (undulate ray). RNAcentral's name for it is "tRNA-Thr". It matches the Rfam family "tRNA". From Rfam's summary of the family: Transfer RNA (tRNA) molecules are approximately 80 nucleotides in length. Their secondary structure includes four short double-helical elements and three loops (D, anti-codon, and T loops). The record is from RNAcentral. Lineage: Eukaryota; Metazoa; Chordata; Chondrichthyes; Rajiformes; Rajidae.